UACGGGGGGAGCAAGCGUUGUUCGGAUUUACUGGGCGUAAAGGGCGCGUAGGCGGUCAGCACAAGUCAGUUGUGAAAUCUCCGAGCUUAACUCGGAAAGGUCAACUGAUACUGUGCGACUAGAGUGCGGAAGGGGCAACUGGAAUUCUUGGUGUAGCGGUGAAAUGCGUAGAUAUCGAGAGGAACACCUGCGGCGAAGGCGGGUUGCUGGGCUGACACUGACGCUGAGGCGCGAAAGCUAGGGGAGCGAACGGG
RNAcentral lists this ribosomal RNA (254 nucleotides) under uncultured bacterium. RNAcentral's name for it is "partial 16S ribosomal RNA". It matches the Rfam family "Bacterial small subunit ribosomal RNA", at positions 524 to 776 of the family's 1533-position model. The record is from RNAcentral.